This is a long non-coding RNA of Aptenodytes forsteri (emperor penguin), 110 nucleotides long. RefSeq lists it as uncharacterized. The transcript is spliced from 3 exons. Lineage: Eukaryota; Metazoa; Chordata; Aves; Sphenisciformes; Spheniscidae. The record is from RefSeq and is a predicted model, not a curated record.
GCCCUCCUCUGGACCCGCUCCAACAGGUCCAUGUCUUUCUUGUGCUGAGGACUCCAGAGGUGCAUGCAGUACUCCAGCUGGGGUCUCACCAGAGCAGAGCAGAGGGACAG